RNAcentral lists this ribosomal RNA (994 nucleotides) under uncultured bacterium. Its description in RNAcentral is "bacterial SSU rRNA". It matches the Rfam family "Bacterial small subunit ribosomal RNA", at positions 504 to 1502 of the family's 1533-position model. The record is from RNAcentral.
UGUGUCAGCCGCCGCGGUAAUACGUAGGGAGCGAGCGUUAUCCGGAUUUAUUGGGCGUAAAGCGUGUGUAGGCGGUUAAUUAAGUCUAAGAUCAAAGACUAGGGCUCAACCCUAGUUCGUUUUAGAAACUGGUUAGCUUGAGUAUAGUAGAGGCAAGUGGAAUUUCUAGUGUAGCGGUAAAAUGUGUAGAUAUUAGAAGGAACACCAGUGGCGAAGGCGACUUGCUGGGCUAUCACUGACGCUGAGGCACGAAAGCGUGGGGAGCAAAUAGGAUUAGAUACCCUAGUAGUCCACGCCGUAAACGAUGAGUACUAAGUGUUGGAAUUAUCCAGUGCUGAAGUUAACGCAUUAAGUACUCCGCCUGAGUAGUACGGUCGCAAGGCUGAAACUUAAAGGAAUUGACGGGCACCCGCACAAGCGGUGGAGCAUGCUGUUUAAUUCGAAGGUACGCGAAGAACCUUACCAGGGCUUGACAUCCCUCUGACCGAUCUGGAAACAGAUUUUUCUCCCUCGGGAGACAGAGGUGACAGGUGGUGCAUGGUUGUCGUCAGCUCGUGUCGUGAGAUGUUUGGUUAAGUCCAAUAACGAGCGCAACCCUUCUCCUUAGUUGCUAACAUUCAGUUGAGAACUCUAAGGAUACUGCCGGUGACAAACCGGAGGAAGGUGGGGAUGAGGUCAAAUCAUCAUGCCCCUUACGUCCUGGGCUACAGGCGUGCUACAAUGGCCGGUAUAGAAAGAAGCAAUAUCGUAAGAUGGAGCAAAUCUCCAAAGCCGGUCCCAGUUCGGAUUGAGGUCUGCAACUCGACCUCAUGAAGUUGGAAUCGCUAGUAAUGGCAAAUCAGAAUGUUGCCGUGAAUACGUUCCCGGGUGUUGUACACACCGCCCGUCACGCUAUGAGAGUUUGUAAUACCUGAAGCUGGUAGCCUAACCCGAAAGGGAGGGGGCCAUCUAGGGUAGGACAGAUGAUUGGAGUGAAGUCGUAACAAGGUAACCA